AUACGUAGGGGGCGAGCGUUGUCCGGAAUGAUUGGGCGUAAAGGGCGCGUAGGCGGCCCGGUAAGUCUGGAGUGAAAGUCCUGUUUUUAAGAUGGGAAUUGCUUUGGAUACUGUCGGGCUUGAGUGCAGGAGAGGUAAGUGGAAUUCCCAGUGUAGCGGUGAAAUGCGUAGAGAUUGGGAGGAACACCAGUGGCGAAGGCGACUUACUGGACUGUAACUGACGCUGAGGCGCGAAAGUGUGGGGAGCAAACAGGAUUAGAUACCCUGGUAGUCCACACUGUAAACGAUGAAUACUAGGUGUGCGGGGACUGACCCCCUGCGUGCCGGCGUUAACACAAUAAGUAUUCCACCUGGGGAGUACGAUCGCAAGGUUGAAACUCAAAGGAAUUGACGGGG
This 396-nucleotide ribosomal RNA is filed under the name uncultured bacterium. RNAcentral's name for it is "partial 16S ribosomal RNA". It matches the Rfam family "Bacterial small subunit ribosomal RNA", at positions 523 to 918 of the family's 1533-position model. The record is from RNAcentral.